Molecule: long non-coding RNA, 387 nt
Organism: Myotis davidii
Lineage: Eukaryota; Metazoa; Chordata; Mammalia; Chiroptera; Vespertilionidae
Exons: 2
Source: RefSeq, a predicted model, not a curated record
CCAGCCCAAGCAGAUCUGCACCUUCUGCCUCAGCAACCAGAGGAAGCUGAGCAAGGACCGUGACAGAAAGACGGCGAUUCGGAGCUAGAGGCUGAUGCCACUGGGCGACCCCCGGAGAGCCCCAUGGACCUGACUCGGGCACAGGCCUCCCGUGCGGGCACUCACAGGCCUGCUCUGCCUCCGGCUGCGAGUGGGGCUGAUGGACAGGCAGGUGGCGACGGGACUCUGAACUGGCCACAGCACUGCCCAGGCCACUGGAACUGUCCACGCUGGCUUCCUACCUGGGUUUUCUUUUGGUCACUACAUGUUGGCAUCUUGUGUCUUUGAUAUGAUAAUAUAAAGUCUGGAAAUUUUGUAUAAUUAAAAACAAAACAGUCUCUUCCAAAA